CCUGCAGGAAAGGACAUCAACCGAGACUCCGCAAGUAGUGGCGAGCGAACGCGGACCAGGCCAGUGGCACUGAGGAAUAAAGUGGAACGACAUGGAAAGGUCGGCCGUAGAGGGUGAUAGCCCCUUACACGUAGAACACUCAGUGUCCUUGAGUAAGGCGGGACACGUGAAAUCCUGUCUGAACAUGGGGAGACCACUCUCCAAGCCUAAGUACUCGUGCAUGACCGAUAGCGAACAAGUACCGUGAGGGAAAGGUGAAAAGCACCCCGACAAGGGGAGUGAAAUAGAACCUGAAACCGGAUGCCUACAAACAGUCGGAGCCCGCAAGGGUGACGGCGUACCUUUUGUAUAAUGGGUCAACGACUUAGUGUGACGAGCAAGCUUAAGCCGAUAGGUGAAGGCGCAGCGAAAGCGAGUCUGAAUAGGGCGUUCAGUUCGUCGCAUUAGACCCGAAACCGAGUGAUCUAGCCAUGAGCAGGUUGAAGGUUGGGUAACACCAACUGGAGGACCGAACCCGCAUCUGUUGCAAUAGAUUGGGAUGACUUGUGGCUAGGGGUGAAAGGCCAAUCAAACUCGGAAAUAGCUGGUUCUCCGCGAAAACUAUUUAGGUAGUGCGUCGACCGAAUACCCUCGGGGGUAGAGCACUGGAUGGGCUAUGGGGACUCACCGUCUUACUGAUCCUAACCAAACUCCGAAUACCGAGGAGUACUAGUCGGCAGACACACGGCGGGUGCUAACGUCCGUCGUGAAGAGGGCAACAACCCUGACCUCCAGCUAAGGUCCCCAAGUCAUGGCUAAGUGGGAAAGGAUGUGAGGAUCCCAAAACAACCAGGAUGUUGGCUUAGAAGCAGCCAUCAUUUAAAGAAAGCGUAACAGCUCACUGGUCUAAUUAAGGGUCUUUGCGCCGAAAAUGUAACGGGGCUAAAGCCAUGCACCGAAGCUGAGGAUACGUCGCAAGACGUGUGGUAGCGGAGCGUUCCGUAAGCCUGUGAAGGGAUACCUGUGAGGGGUCCUGGAGGUAUCGGAAGUGCGAAUGUUGACAUGAGUAACGAUAAAGAGGGUGAGAGACCCUCUCGCCGAAAGACCAAGGGUUCCUGCUUAAAGUUAAUCUGAGCAGGGUUAGCCGGCCCCUAAGACGAGGCGGACACGCGUAGUCGAUGGGAACCACGUUAAUAUUCGUGGGCCUGGUGGUAGUGACGGAUUGCUUAACUUGUACGCUCUUAUUGGAUUGGGUGUGCAGGGACGCGGUUCCAGGAAAUAGCUCCACCGUAUAGACCGUACCCGAAACCGACACAGGUGGUCAGGUAGAGUAUACCAAGGCGCUUGAGAGAACUAUGCUGAAGGAACUCGGCAAAUUGCACGCGUAACUUCGGAAGAAGCGUGACCCUUUUAUACGCAAGUAUGAAAGGGUGGCACAGACCAGGGGGUAGCGACUGUUUAUCAAAAACACAGGGCUCUGCGAAGUCGCAAGACGACGUAUAGGGUCUGACGCCUGCCCGGUGCUGGAAGGUUAAGAGGAGGGGUGCAAGCUCUGAAUCGAAGCCCCAGUAAACGGCGGCCGUAACUAUAACGGUCCUAAGGUAGCGAAAUUCCUUGUCGGGUAAGUUCCGACCUGCACGAAUGGCGUAACGACUUCCCCGCUGUCUCCAGCAUAGACUCAGUGAAAUUGAAUUCCCCGUGAAGAUGCGGGGUUCCUGCGGUCAGACGGAAAGACCCCGUGCACCUUUACUAUAGCUUUACACUGGCAUUCGUGUCGGCAUGUGUAGGAUAGGUGGUAGGCUUUGAAGCAGGGACGCCAGUUCUUGUGGAGCCAUCCUUGAAAUACCACCCUUAUCGUCAUGGAUGUCUAACCGCGGUCCGU
Molecule: ribosomal RNA, 1861 nt
Filed under: Ensifer adhaerens
Lineage: Bacteria; Pseudomonadati; Pseudomonadota; Alphaproteobacteria; Hyphomicrobiales; Rhizobiaceae
Description: bacterial LSU rRNA
Rfam family: Bacterial large subunit ribosomal RNA
Source: RNAcentral